AUUGAACGCUGGCGGCAGGCCUAACACAUGCAAGUCGAGCGGAUGAAGGGAGCUUGCUCCUGGAUUCAGCGGCGGAAGGGUGAGUAAUGCCUAGGAAUCUGCCUGGUAGUGGGGGAUGACGUCCGGAGACGGGCGCUAAUACCGCAUACGUCCUGAGGGAGAAAGUGGGGGAUCUUCGGACCUCACGCUAUCAGAUGAGCUUAGGUCGGAUUAGCUAGUUGGUGGGGUAAAGGCCUACCAAGGCGAGGAUCCGUAGCUGGUCUGAGAGGAUGAUCAGUCACACUGGAACUGAGACACGGUCCAGACUCCUACGGGAGGCAGCAGUGGGGAAUAUUGGACAGUGGGCGAAAGCCUGAUCCAGCCAUGCCGCGUGUGUGAAGAAGGUCUUCGGAUUGUAAAGCACUUUAAGUUGGGAGGAAGGGCAGUAAGUUAAUACCUUGCUGUUGUGACGUUACCAACAGAAUAAGCACCGGCUAACUUCGUG
Molecule: ribosomal RNA, 484 nt
Filed under: uncultured bacterium
Lineage: Bacteria
Description: partial 16S ribosomal RNA
Rfam family: Bacterial small subunit ribosomal RNA
Source: RNAcentral